UGUUGCCCUGAGGGAAGUCUACUGCUGGAUGGGACAAAAGGCGUCAGGUCAAAUUGCUAAAGAAUAAGCAAAGAAGAAGAGGAACAAAUACUGAGAAGUAACAGAUCACAUUCCUAACCUCUGAGAAGAAACUUCCCUCAGAAGCUCAAACUGAAACAGACCUUCUGGAAAAGGACAGCACACAAAAGAGGAUCACUGAAACUGAGUCUGUAUUGAUCAAAAGAACACCCUCUACAUCAUUAUUACAGAAGCUUACAACAAAAACACAGUGA
This 272-nucleotide long non-coding RNA is filed under the name Calidris pugnax (ruff). RNAcentral describes it as "lncRNA (ENSCPUG00000001982.1)". The record is from RNAcentral. Lineage: Eukaryota; Metazoa; Chordata; Aves; Charadriiformes; Scolopacidae.